This 253-nucleotide ribosomal RNA is filed under the name uncultured bacterium. Its description in RNAcentral is "partial 16S ribosomal RNA". It matches the Rfam family "Bacterial small subunit ribosomal RNA", at positions 524 to 776 of the family's 1533-position model. The record is from RNAcentral.
UACGGGGGGGGCAAGCGUUGUUCGGAAUUACUGGGCGUAAAGGGCUCGUAGGCGGCCAACUAAGUCGAACGUGAAAUCCCUCAGCUUAACUGGGGAACUGCGUCCGAUACUGAUUGGCUUGAAUCCGGAAGAGGGAUGCGGAAUUCCAGGUGUAGCGGUGAAAUGCGUAGAUAUCAGGAAGAACACCCGUGGCGAAGGCGGCUCUCUGGGACGGUACUGACGCUGAGACGCGAAAGCCAGGGGAGCAAACGGG